AGCAGCCGCGGUAAUUCCAGCUCCAAUAGCGUAUAUUAAAGUUGUUGCAGUUAAAAAGCUCGUAGUUGAAUUUCGGGAUCAGUACGCUGGUCGUGCCUUUGGUAUGUACUGGUGUCACUGAUUCCUCCCUUCUGAAGAACCGUUGUGCCAUUUAUUUGGUGUGGCGGGAAAUCAGGACUGUUACUUUGAAAAAUUAGAGUGUUUAAAGCAGGCUCGCGCUUGAAUACAUUAGCAUGGAAUAAUGAAAUAGGACGUUUGAUCUUAUUUUGUUGGUUUCUAGGAUCGACGUAAUGAUUAAUAGGGAUAGUUGGGGGCAUUAGUAUUCAAUUGUCAGAGGUGAAAUUCUUGGAUUUAUUGAAGACUAACUACUGCGAAAGCAUUUGCCAGGGAUGUUUUCAUUAAUCAAGAACGAAAGUUAGGGGAUCGAAGACGAUCAGAUACCGUCGUAGU
RNAcentral lists this ribosomal RNA (450 nucleotides) under uncultured Glomus. Its description in RNAcentral is "SSU rRNA". It matches the Rfam family "Eukaryotic small subunit ribosomal RNA", at positions 569 to 1024 of the family's 1831-position model. The record is from RNAcentral. Lineage: Eukaryota; Fungi; Glomeromycota; Glomeromycetes; Glomerales; Glomeraceae.